UUUUAUUAUUAAAAGCCUUAUGUCCCCACUAAAGUGUUAUGGAUCAUCAGGGGUUAAAGGAGUUGCAGAGGAAAGAGCCCUGUUAGUUCAAUUGUUUAUUCUCCUUGUCUGCUCUGAGAUCACUGUGGGGACUAUACCAGAUAACUUUAUCUGUGGAAACUGGGCAUUCUCUUAUCUCUCCUACGCCCAUCAGUGAAAUACCAAGAUAUCUAGGAGACAUUUAAAAGUAGAGAUAAGUUAAUAUUUUUUUCUGCCUUUUACUUCUUUUGCCAUUUCCUUUAUAGAAAUCUUGUUGGAACUUUUCUUACUGAGAGCAUUUGUGAAUAAUUAAGAAAAAUCAGUAUCUAUACACCCAGUCAAGAAGGAUUAAUUGACUUUUCUGGUUCCUUUGCAUAAGACCAUGGCUAUCUACUCCUAGGACUCUCAAGACUUCCAUUUUCAACUUCCUUCAACGAUUCUGGGCUGCGACUUCUCAUGUUGCAGAUCUGAAAUCAUGAAUUACCAGCCAGCUGGAACAGCAGGAGAAGGAAAGAUCAUACAUACCCUGAGCUCCAGUCAGUCACUGUGAGAAGUGCAGAGGAGCUCCGCUGUUUCCAUCUAGUGCUGGCAGAGAAAUUACCAGCAGCUUAUCACCCCAGCAAGUUUUAAGCUUGCUUGGAAACAUGGUCCAGACAAGGAUCAGAUGGUUUUUGUCAGCUCCAGGAUGGAUUAUUGAGUUGUGUCACGUCUGAAGCUGAAUGUGAACAUAACAUGCAAGUUUUGGCUGUUAUAGAAGUUGGCUGUGCACUUGCUAAAGAGUUCAAACUUGUGCCGUAUCGAUUCCCAGAGAGCUUCCAGAAGAACAAAAGGUUCAAGCCUUUGCUACAUAGGACACACUGCCUUAUUUUAGAAGCUCUCCUUCUCCUGGCCAGCAGACUUCCAAGCCAAAGACUGGAACAGAGUUGUCUGCUUUAACUAAGCACUGUGCUUCUAGCUUUCAAACCUCAAGGAUGGUUGUAAUUUGGCAUCCGAAAAUGGUAGCCAUUUUCUCUGUAAGUUUAAGAUACCCUUCUUGAAGCUGUAGAACCUAUGAGCCUGCUGGAAUACAGCUGUGGUGAGUGUGAUGGUUUGCUGUUUAUAAUUUUU
Molecule: long non-coding RNA, 1125 nt
Filed under: Junco hyemalis (dark-eyed junco)
Lineage: Eukaryota; Metazoa; Chordata; Aves; Passeriformes; Passerellidae
Description: lncRNA (ENSJHYG00000014973.1)
Source: RNAcentral